CACCGCGGUUAUACGAGCGGCCCAAGUUGAUAACACACCGGCAUAAAAAGUGGCCAAAAUAAUACUACUAGAGCCAAACAUUUUCAGAGCAGUUAUAAGCUUAUGAAGACAGGAAGCCCCAUCACGAAGGUAGCUCUAAUUUACUUUACCACGAAAGCUAGGACA
This 165-nucleotide ribosomal RNA is filed under the name Pandaka lidwilli (Lidwill's dwarfgoby). RNAcentral's name for it is "partial 12S ribosomal RNA". The record is from RNAcentral. Lineage: Eukaryota; Metazoa; Chordata; Actinopteri; Gobiiformes; Gobiidae.